GGUGAACGCUGGCGGCGUGCCUAAGACAUGCAAGUCGAGCGGGCCGCGGGGUUUUACUCCGUGGUCAGCGGCGGACGGGUGAGUAACGCGUGGGUGACCUACCCGGAAGAGGGGGACAACCCGGGGAAACUCGGGCUAAUCCCCCAUGUGGACCCGCCCCUUGGGGUGUGUCCAAAGGGCUUUGCCCGCUUCCGGAUGGGCCCGCGUCCCAUCAGCUAGUUGGUGGGGUAAUGGCCCACCAAGGCGACGACGGGUAGCCGGCCUGAGAGGGUGGCCGGCCACAGGGGCACUGAGACACGGGCCCCACGCCUACGGGAGGCAGCAGUUAGGAAUCUGCCGCAAUGGGCGCAAGCCUGACGGAGCGACGCCGCUUGGAGGAAGAAGCCCUUCGGGGUGUAAACUCCUGAACCCGGGACGAAACCCCCGACGAGGGGACUGACGGUACCGGGGUAAUAGCGCCGGCCAACUCCGUG
Molecule: ribosomal RNA, 473 nt
Filed under: uncultured bacterium
Lineage: Bacteria
Description: partial 16S ribosomal RNA
Rfam family: Bacterial small subunit ribosomal RNA
Source: RNAcentral